GUACCUUUUGUUCCUCCCAGGUCCGAAGAGAUUUUAUUUCAUUACGAGAAUAAAGCAACAGAAGGGAAAGUACUUAUUGACUCUGUCUUUGAUUUCUAUGGAAGUAAAAGUGAGAGGAAGUAAACUGUAAUUUAUUAGAUGGAAUUAAACACUGUACCUGUGGAAGGAAACAGAGUUAGCAGUUCUGGAUCUUUAAAGUGCAAGGUGGUCAUACAUUGAACUGUUUUGCCUUUGACCCCGAAGACAGCUCACCCUCAACCCUUGCCCUGAAUUGACCUCCCUCACUUUGGUUCAAGACCUGGAGUGAUGUGUUCCCACCCCAGAACACUUUU
Molecule: long non-coding RNA, 332 nt
Filed under: Felis catus (domestic cat)
Lineage: Eukaryota; Metazoa; Chordata; Mammalia; Carnivora; Felidae
Description: lncRNA (ENSFCAG00000049628.1)
Source: RNAcentral